RNAcentral lists this ribosomal RNA (469 nucleotides) under uncultured bacterium. RNAcentral's name for it is "bacterial SSU rRNA". It matches the Rfam family "Bacterial small subunit ribosomal RNA", at positions 21 to 505 of the family's 1533-position model. The record is from RNAcentral.
GGCUCAGGAUAAACGCUGGCGGCGUGCCUUACGCAUGCAAGUCGAACGAAGCCCUCCGCUUCGGCGGGGGUGACUGAGUGGCAAACGGCUGAGUAACGCGUAGGUGAUCUGUCCCGAGGAGGGGAACAACCCGUGGAAACGCGGGCUAAUGCCCCAUACGCCCACCGGAUCGGACCGGUGGGGAAAUGUUCCGGCGCCUUGGGAGGAGCCUGCGUCCGAUUAGCUGGUUGGUGGGGUAACGGCCUACCAAGGCGACGAUCGGUAGCUGGUCUGAGAGGAUGAUCAGCCAGACUGGGACUGAGACACGGCCCAGACUCCUACGGGAGGCAGCAGCGAGGAAUCUUGCGCAAUGGGCGAAAGCCUGACGCAGCAACGCCGCGUGGGUGAUGAAGGCCUUCGGGUUGUAAAUCCCUUUUGCCGGGGAAGAACUUUGACGGUACCCGGCGAAAUAAGCCACGGGCUAACUAAC